GGCUUUGAUGGAAAAUAGUUAUUUUGAAAUUAACUUAAAAGUGUUCGAUUCGCUUAAAAGCUU
RNAcentral lists this transfer RNA (63 nucleotides) under Dosinia japonica. RNAcentral describes it as "tRNA-Ser". The record is from RNAcentral. RNAcentral also lists the same sequence under 1 other name. Lineage: Eukaryota; Metazoa; Mollusca; Bivalvia; Venerida; Veneridae.